AUUGAACGCUGGCGGCAGGCCUAACACAUGAAAGUCGAGCGAACGGCGGACGGGUGAGUAAUGUAUGGGGACUGCCCGAUAGAGGGGGAUAACUACUGGAAACGGUGGCUACUACCGCAUACUAUCGGAUAACCCAUAUGUGAUUAGCUAGUAGGUGGGGUAAAGGCUCACCUAGGCGACGAUCUCUAGCUGGUCUGAGAGGAUGAUCAGCCACACUGGGCGUGAUACACGGCCCAGACUCCGACGGAGGCAGCAGGGGGGAAUAUUGCACAAGGGGGGCAAGCCUGAUGCAGCCAUGCCGCGUGUAUGAAGAAGGCCUUAGGGUUGUAAAGUACUUUCAGCGGGGAGGCGUUACCCGCAGAAGAAGCACCGGAUAACUCCGUGCCAGCCGCCGCGGUAAUAC
Molecule: ribosomal RNA, 403 nt
Filed under: uncultured bacterium
Lineage: Bacteria
Description: partial 16S ribosomal RNA
Rfam family: Bacterial small subunit ribosomal RNA
Source: RNAcentral